This 464-nucleotide ribosomal RNA is filed under the name uncultured bacterium. RNAcentral's name for it is "bacterial SSU rRNA". It matches the Rfam family "Bacterial small subunit ribosomal RNA", at positions 28 to 507 of the family's 1533-position model. The record is from RNAcentral.
GAUGAACGCUAGCGGCAGGCCUAAUACAUGCAAGUCAAGGGGUAGCAAUACACCGGCGCACGGGUGAGUAACGCGUACAUGACCUGCCUUUAAGACCGGGAUAGCCCUGGGAAACUGGGAUUAAUACCGGAUGUGAUAAUAUGUAUAGAGAUAUAUUAUUAAAGUUGAGGCGCUUAGAGAUGGGUGUGCGUUUGAUUAGCUAGUUGGUAGGGUAACGGCCUACCAAGGCGACGAUCAAUAGGGGGCGUGAGAGCGUGACCCCCCACACGGGUACUGAGACACGGACCCGACUCCUACGGGAGGCAGCAGUAAGGAAUAUUGGUCAAUGGACGGAAGUCUGAACCAGCCAUCCCGCGUGCAGGAUGAAGGUCCUAUGGAUUGUAAACUGCUUUUAGCAGAGACGAAACGCCGACAUUUAUGUUGGUCUGACGGUAUCUGCGGAAUAAGCACCGGCUAACUCCGUG